GCGCGGGCCCGGCGCUCCCUAAGGCGGCGGCGGCGGCUCCGGCGGCUCCUUUGUUCCCCCUGCCGGCACCGGGCUCCGGAUCGCGUCGGGAUCGGGCCGGGAUGAGCCUCGGGAACGGCUCCGGGAAAGGCUCCGGCUCCGCUUGAUGUUAGGAGCUCGUCCCUGUGAGGCAUCGAGGACUACCAUGCCCUUAGGUGCCGUUCCCAGCCCCUGAUGUGACAUGGCCACCCCGGAGCCCCCCCUGGGCGGGACCC
Melospiza melodia melodia is the source of this 254-nucleotide long non-coding RNA. RefSeq lists it as uncharacterized. The record is from RefSeq and is a predicted model, not a curated record. NCBI's taxonomy places the organism in Eukaryota, Metazoa, Chordata, Aves, Passeriformes, Passerellidae. The transcript has 3 exons.